Molecule: transfer RNA, 85 nt
Filed under: Heterobasidion irregulare TC 32-1
Lineage: Eukaryota; Fungi; Basidiomycota; Agaricomycetes; Russulales; Bondarzewiaceae
Rfam family: tRNA
About the family: Transfer RNA (tRNA) molecules are approximately 80 nucleotides in length.
Source: Rfam by way of RNAcentral
GACUCCGUAGCUCAGUGGUUAGAGCAUGCGAUUGCAGCUACCACUUAGUAUCGCAGGGUCACGUGUUCGACUCACGUCGGGGUCU